This 271-nucleotide long non-coding RNA is filed under the name Monodelphis domestica (gray short-tailed opossum). RNAcentral describes it as "lncRNA (ENSMODG00000049885.1)". Lineage: Eukaryota; Metazoa; Chordata; Mammalia; Didelphimorphia; Didelphidae. The record is from RNAcentral.
CCUGCCUCUCAGGAAGAACAAUUGAACUGUCACCCGAUUAUAAACAGUUCAUUCUCCCAAAAUCCCAAGAGAAAGAGGGGGAAGAAAAAGGCCAACAGAGAAAAAGGUCAGUGACAAGGACAUUUUACUAAAUAAGAAAAAGAUUUAAAAGAAAAGUCAGCCACCAUCCACUUGGGUGGUAUAUGUGAUUAUCAAAUUGAGUAUGACUUCAGGUGACACAUUGGCAGUAAUUUAGAUGGUUUGAAUAGAAAUAUAUAAAAUAAGUUUUAAG